AACGAACGCUGGCGGCAUGCCUAACACAUGCAAGUCGAACGGUGCCUUCGGGCACAGUGGCGCACGGGUGAGUAACACGUGGGAACCUGCCUUUCGGUUCGGAACAACGUCUGGAAACGGACGCUAACGCCGGAUACGCCCAUCCAGCGAUGGUUGGGGAAAGUUUACGCCGAGAGAGGGGCCCGCGCCGGAUUAGGUAGUUGGUGGGGUAACGGCCUACCAAGCCGACGAUCCGUAGCUGGUCUGAGAGGAUGAUCAGCCACACUGGGACUGAGACACGGCCCAGACUCCUACGGGAGGCAGCAGUGGGGAAUAUUGGACAAUGGGCGCAAGCCUGAUCCAGCAAUGCCGCGUGAGUGAUGAAGGCCUUAGGGUUGUAAAGCUCUUUCGCACGCGACGAUGAUGACGGUAGCGUGAGAAGAAGCCCCGGCUAACUUCGUG
This 441-nucleotide ribosomal RNA is filed under the name uncultured bacterium. Its description in RNAcentral is "bacterial SSU rRNA". It matches the Rfam family "Bacterial small subunit ribosomal RNA", at positions 29 to 507 of the family's 1533-position model. The record is from RNAcentral.